AAAAUCCGUCGAAUUGAAAAUCGUGAGGGUUCAAGUCCCUCUAUCCCCA
RNAcentral lists this transfer RNA (49 nucleotides) under Cephalanthera damasonium. RNAcentral's name for it is "transfer RNA-Leu". Lineage: Eukaryota; Viridiplantae; Streptophyta; Magnoliopsida; Asparagales; Orchidaceae. The record is from RNAcentral.